GCAAUUGGAUUCCUUCUAUGGGGCAUCAUGGCAGCUGUCCUCCUCUGCAGUAAAAACUGGACCAUGACCCCGAACAAUGACCCAGACAAGGACAGGACCUUAAGUUGUGUCGAGUAUCAUGUUCAGCUGGGAAGAGAGCUGACCCCUCAACAAUCCCACAGUUUGGCUGCAUACAUGACAAGCAACUCUUUGAGAGGUUCAGCCUCUGGUGGACUGACAAGAAGACAAUGCAGAUAAAACCUGAAAAGGAAGCAAAGUAAAGUUUGGACACAGAAUACAAGAGAGACGACACAUUGAUCACACAUCAAACAAGAGCCAAAUGCCUCCAGAGAAUAAUA
Archocentrus centrarchus (flier cichlid) is the source of this 338-nucleotide long non-coding RNA. RefSeq lists it as uncharacterized. The record is from RefSeq and is a predicted model, not a curated record. The transcript is spliced from 3 exons. Lineage: Eukaryota; Metazoa; Chordata; Actinopteri; Cichliformes; Cichlidae.